This is a long non-coding RNA of Ornithodoros turicata, 668 nucleotides long. RefSeq lists it as uncharacterized. The transcript is spliced from 3 exons. NCBI's taxonomy places the organism in Eukaryota, Metazoa, Arthropoda, Arachnida, Ixodida, Argasidae. The record is from RefSeq and is a predicted model, not a curated record.
AGGCGCUCUUGUUGUAAUGUACCGUUGCGGAAGGCGCCCUUGUGUUUUUAACACUCUGAUGGGCUAGUUGACCACCGUAGAGGUGUACAUGAAGCGAGCAGAAUACCGUGCUGUCAUGCAUUAUGUGUGUUACGGCGGCGAACUAUGCAAAACUCGGAUGUCACAUUUUGGGACGUUACAAAGAACACACCAGGGCGGUCGCCUAGAAUCGAUUUGCUCUCCGAAACCACGAAAGUAUGUCACGUCCAUUCGUGCUCGCAUCAGUUCACUACGAAUAUAGAGAUAAUGUCACAUAUGAAGCAUCACAUACGAGAGGGUCAUGAUCAGAUGUCCUUAUGAACGCUGGAAGUAGUAGUUCCGUGCCGUCUCCGCGUUUUGUGUGCACCUUCUUGUUCUUCCAUUGAAAAAAUAAAACAGUGAGUCUAAUUUCCUUUCUCUUUGAAGUGUUUUGAUGCCAGAGCUGACUGAUGGGUGCAUAUGGUUCCUUCGUAUGUUCUUUCUUUGAAAAAAUAAACGUAUUUUGAUGCCAGAGCUGACUGAUGGGUGCACAUGGUUCCUUCGUAUGUUCUUCCUUUGAAAAAAUAAACGGGUUUUGAUGCCAGAGGUGACAAGCGCAUUUUCAUCACUAUGUACAUAGAAAAUAAAUCCCAAUGUGACAAACAUCACAA